RNAcentral lists this ribosomal RNA (1330 nucleotides) under Krasilnikoviella muralis. Its description in RNAcentral is "bacterial SSU rRNA". It matches the Rfam family "Bacterial small subunit ribosomal RNA", at positions 8 to 1351 of the family's 1533-position model. Lineage: Bacteria; Bacillati; Actinomycetota; Actinomycetes; Micrococcales; Promicromonosporaceae. The record is from RNAcentral.
AGAGUUUGAUCCUGGCUCAGGACGAACGCUGGCGGCGUGCUUAACACAUGCAAGUCGAACGGUGAAGCCCAGCUUGCUGGGUGGAUCAGUGGCGAACGGGUGAGUAACACGUGAGCAACCUGCCCUCCACUUCGGGAUAAGCCUUGGAAACGGGGUCUAAUACCGGAUAUGAGCACUCAUCGCAUGGUGGGUGUUGGAAAGUUUUUCGGUGGGGGAUGGGCUCGCGGCCUAUCAGCUUGUUGGUGGGGUGAUGGCCUACCAAGGCGUCGACGGGUAGCCGGCCUGAGAGGGCGACCGGCCACACUGGGACUGAGACACGGCCCAGACUCCUACGGGAGGCAGCAGUGGGGAAUAUUGCACAAUGGGCGCAAGCCUGAUGCAGCGACGCCGCGUGAGGGAUGACGGCCUUCGGGUUGUAAACCUCUUUCAGCAGGGAAGAAGCGCAAGUGACGGUACCUGCAGAAGAAGCGCCGGCUAACUACGUGCCAGCAGCCGCGGUAAUACGUAGGGCGCAAGCGUUGUCCGGAAUUAUUGGGCGUAAAGAGCUCGUAGGCGGUCUGUCGCGUCUGGUGUGAAAUCCCGAGGCUCAACCUCGGGCUUGCAUCGGGUACGGGCAGACUAGAGUGCGGUAGGGGAGACUGGAAUUCCUGGUGUAGCGGUGGAAUGCGCAGAUAUCAGGAGGAACACCGAUGGCGAAGGCAGGUCUCUGGGCCGCAACUGACGCUGAGGAGCGAAAGCAUGGGGAGCGAACAGGAUUAGAUACCCUGGUAGUCCAUGCCGUAAACGUUGGGCACUAGGUGUGGGGCUCAUUCCACGAGUUCCGUGCCGCAGCUAACGCAUUAAGUGCCCCGCCUGGGGAGUACGGCCGCAAGGCUAAAACUCAAAGGAAUUGACGGGGGCCCGCACAAGCGGCGGAGCAUGCGGAUUAAUUCGAUGCAACGCGAAGAACCUUACCAAGGCUUGACAUGUACGAGAACACGCUAGAGAUAGCGGACUCUUUGGACACUCGUAUACAGGUGGUGCAUGGUUGUCGUCAGCUCGUGUCGUGAGAUGUUGGGUUAAGUCCCGCAACGAGCGCAACCCUCGUCCUAUGUUGCCAGCGGGUUAUGCCGGGGACUCAUGGGAGACUGCCGGGGUCAACUCGGAGGAAGGUGGGGAUGACGUCAAAUCAUCAUGCCCCUUAUGUCUUGGGCUUCACGCAUGCUACAAUGGCCGGUACAGAGGGCUGCGAUACCGUAAGGUGGAGCGAAUCCCAAAAAGCCGGUCUCAGUUCGGAUUGGGGUCUGCAACUCGACCCCAUGAAGUCGGAGUCGCUAGUAAUCGCAGAUCA